Molecule: long non-coding RNA, 2921 nt
Organism: Gallus gallus (chicken)
Lineage: Eukaryota; Metazoa; Chordata; Aves; Galliformes; Phasianidae
Exons: 2
Source: RefSeq, a predicted model, not a curated record
GGGAAGGGGAAGAGAAUAAAAAGGAAGGAGAAGAGAAGAGCUGCGCUGUCACUGCUACCGCCACCUCAAGAGGCCUUCCCAGGCGCUGGCCCAAGGAGGUCCCACAAAAACCACGACGUCAGGAAGAGAAUGCCUGGUAAUCCAACACACAAAGUGCUUUACCAAGACAGAGCCCAUAAGGCCGAGAGAAACUGUGAGGAACGUGGUGGGAAAAGGCGGGCAGGAAAGCACAAGAAGGGACCUCAAGGAUCAUGAAGCUCCAACCUCCAGACCCCGGCAGGGCCACCAACCUCCACAUUUCAUACCAGCCCAGGCUGCCCAGGGCCCCAUCCAGCCUGGCCUUGAACACCUCCAGGGAUGGACGGGGCAUCCACAGCCUCUCUGGGCAGCUGUUCCAACACCUCACCAUUCUCCUGGUGAUGAGCUACAGCCAGCUCUGUUGGCUGCUGGGUGUGAAGCGGGAGGACCCGAAGCCCGGUCCCUUGCACGCCGAUGUCAUAGGAACGAGAGCUUUCUUUCGGUCUUCCCUCUGGAAAGAGAUCUAAGAGGCGAGUAUAACUGGUGGCUGGAAAGGUCUGUGAAGGACCGUUGUGUUUGGGCGGUCCUUUGUGGAGCCGGGGAUUGGACCUGAUAAUCCCUGUGGAUAUCCCUUCCAGCUCAGGAUAUUGCCUGAUUCUACGAUUGUUGUAGCUGUGUGGAGGAGUACAUAAGCACUGUGUCCCACAGCCUCUGAUUUUUUUUUAUUGUGUCCCCAGGCCCUGCCCCCUCCUUGGGGUCCAGUGGGGGUGGCCCUGGGGGUACAAAACCCAAACCCCAUUGGUGGGAGCCACUCCCUCGGCUGCUGCCGACCCUGGAACCUUUGGAGGAGGCUCAACCGGGGGCUGGGGCCUGGCCCUUAAACGGGCACCAGGACUCCAAGAGCGCCUGGCUCCAUCCCCAGCAACGUUCAGUUUCCCCUGCUCAAAAGCGCUCCCCAGGGACAGUCCCUUUCAACUUCUCCAGGGCUGCAGCCGUAAUAGUGGUGUAAAUUGGCCACGGGGAUGGCGUCCGAUGGAGUUGGUUGUCAGUGCGAUUCUGUGCGCCGCCCCAAGGCCCUGUGGCUUCAGCCAUGGGUCGGACUGCGAGGCGGGGGGGAGGGACUCGUGCAGAUGCAAAUGGCUAUGCUUGUCUGAGCAAUAGUUGUCUGGAUCACCCCAACUGUUACCAGCCCAUUCUUCAGGAGAGACAUUUUUCCAAGCUGAGCUAUGUCAGGCAGAACUGGGAGAUGGCCCUGGUGCCAUUUCCAUACGUGAUCCCAGGUUGUGGUGUUUUCAUUGAAACUCUUGAAGCUCGUUUAGCUGUUGCUCUGUUUCCGGUGAUAACAACAGCUCAGUAGAUUACAUCCGCUGAUCCCAUCUUGUAACGCCUCUAUUUUACGGUUGGGUUUUCCCCUCUCCUGGCAGGAAGAUGCGCUCCAACCUCUUGCUGAUUAUACCGUGAUCUUUCCCGCCCUCCAGCAUCAGUUGAGUGCUCUCCUACCUCUGCCCACUUACACCAGCUAUCAUAAGCCAAUUCCUCAGGGAACGGAGGCUUUGUUUGGAUCUCACGUUUUGGUAGCUACUUGGUGACUGUGCUUGUCAUGCUGCUGCCUCCACCAGUUUGGCAUCGCAGGAGAUGACAAUUGCAUUUCACUUGGUUCUCCUGAGUAGCCAUGUCAGAGUUACUGAUAACUGAACAAGAGCGGUAAUUUUUAGCGCAAAGCCUAACAUUCUAACAGCCCUUAGUCACGUAACGGUGAGGAGCUCAGUAACGCGAUUUAAUGAAAUGGAUGAGAAUUAAACAGAGACCUGAUUACAGAUUCAGGGGUGACAAGAUCCACGCUCAGUAACAGGGUACCUUAGAACAGAUACAGACAGAUUAACAGAAAUAUCAAGUGGAGUAACACAAACCCUUGUGUUACAAAUGCGUCUAGUUAAAAGGCAUAAAUAAGUAGGGAGGUGGAUGUCAGAAUGAGCUGGCCUCUGCUUGAGCUUGGAGCAAAUACUCCCAAGGCCCUGGCAUUCCUCAGCGGGCGAUAACUGAGGCUGACUCGAGUGGGAGGGCUUUGCCCCGGCUUCUGCUGAGCGACAGCCCCGAGAAUUUGGUUGUCCCUGAGAGGUGCCUUGAGCCCGGUUUUGCCAGGUACUUGUACAGAGCAGCUCCCUUGGGAUUGUUCUGGGGCAAUGGGAUGAGAAGCAGGAGUCAGAUCCGAGAAGGGCUUGCCCUCGCGCCCCAAGCCACUGCCCCUUGCUACCCACGGCAAGCAGGGGCUGGGCAAGGGAAGGGGUGUACUGGCUGUACUGGGUCUCCACCUCGUGUUCAAGGAGAAGAAUUGCACCGAGAGGCCUGAGAGAAGGGGGAGAAAGUGGGAGGGGCGGGGGGGGGGGCGGCACAGCACUGCGCCCCAGGUUGACGCAGGCGUUGUCCAAGGAAUCAGAACAGCAGACCUUGCACGUGAGCCCAAUGCAGAGUUUUGCCAAGGGGGGAGGCAGGAAGAAGUUUCAGUUUCAGCCUUGCGGGUGGGCGUCUUUCUGUACCCAAAGACGUGCUUUGUGCCCUCGAUGCUGAGGGCAGCCACCCAGGGCUGGGGAACGAACGGCUGCACGGCCCCUGAACCCUGACCAGCAGGGAAACUGGGAGAACAGAAUGCCGUCACUGCUGAUCUGUACCAGUUUGACUCUGCUUUAAGACUCACUGCAAGCUUUCAGAAUAAGGGUCCCCUCAGAAGAAGACAGACAAGGAGCAGGGUUGAAAAGGAACAGGGUUGGUUUUAAUUGGUGGUUGUUGCUGUUGGUUGUAAAAUAGACAAUCAGUCUAUGGUGUUACACUGUCAAUGAUGUCAGACAGUUCCAGAAGGAGCUCGUCCACAUCCUUCUCAGCGUCCACCUCAAUUUCUCCUUCCA